This 254-nucleotide unclassified non-coding RNA is filed under the name uncultured fungus. Its description in RNAcentral is "partial contains 5.8S ribosomal RNA, internal transcribed spacer 2, and large subunit ribosomal RNA". Lineage: Eukaryota; Fungi. The record is from RNAcentral.
AACGCACAUUGCGCCCUUUGGUAUUCCUUAGGGCAUGCCUGUUCGAGCGUCAUAUCAAACCUUCAAGCUCAGCUUGGUCUUGGGCGAUCGUCCCGCCUCCUAGGCGCGGACCCGCCUGAAAUCCAUUGGCGGCCGGCACCCCUCAGGCUAUGAGCGCAGCAGAAUUGCGCCUCUAUGCCCGGGGAGCCUGCGCUCCAGCAAGCCCCUCGCACCCAUUUGACCUCGGAUCAGGCAGGGAUACCCGCUGAACUUAA